This is a long non-coding RNA of Micropterus dolomieu (smallmouth bass), 873 nucleotides long. RefSeq lists it as uncharacterized. Lineage: Eukaryota; Metazoa; Chordata; Actinopteri; Centrarchiformes; Centrarchidae. The transcript is spliced from 3 exons. The record is from RefSeq and is a predicted model, not a curated record.
CCCUUGGUUGCUCUGACUGUUAGACACAUGCAGCUCAGUUACCGACCCUGGGUCACACCGUACCUGCGCAGUGUCUUGGAGGGGAAGUCCCAGAGGGCCACGGUACCAUCAGAGAGAGAUGGAGAGAAGGCACAGCAGCUGACCUCGUCCGUGUGGUGUCGAAGAGUGCAAAUUACUGACACCAUCUUGUUUGUUAGGCACUGCCGGGGGAGCGGUUUCAAUCACAAGGUGGCGCAAAAUGCUCAAAUAACCGCCUUUGAAACGAACGAGAGGAGUGACACCUGAUGGGAAGCUGCGUAUCCUGACAGCUUUCUGUCUGUCCCGUGAGCUUUUGCCGCAUGCUGUGCAGAUUCGUUGUGUUAUCCAUGCUUUUUUUUUAAGAUGCUUAUGCAUUUUUAAAGGAUCAAAUAAAUUCAACCACAGUAGUUUUUAUGACACUGAAUGAGACGCCAUGCAACCUUAAAGACUGAUCUUCAUGAAGAAGGACGUCUUUAGUGCAAUGGAUUUCUGCAGCUGCUGAAUGCAGAGUGACAACUGAGCUGAGCUGCGGACUUCACAGAGGGCUUUACGCCACAACCUCAUCCCUGGAGCCACCUCUUCCUCGCUGCUUAGAGGUCACAGAGAGUAAGACUGUGGUGUAACUGGACAGCAUUCACAUACACAGUCUGUGACAUUAUCACACUGAAUGACCGAAAGUAAAGAAGGAAAUAGUCUUUAGUAGGGCUGAACGAUUUUGAAAAAAAAUCUGUAAUUGCGAUUAUUUUGACUGAUAUUGUAAUUGUGAUAUACUAUGUGAUAAUGGGGGUAAUCAUAAUUAUUACAUAAUUAUCCACAUUUUCAUUGAAAAACAUAUUAAAAUGAAUUAUGGUGUGA